Molecule: ribosomal RNA, 683 nt
Filed under: Vibrio parahaemolyticus
Lineage: Bacteria; Pseudomonadati; Pseudomonadota; Gammaproteobacteria; Vibrionales; Vibrionaceae
Description: partial 23S ribosomal RNA
Rfam family: Bacterial large subunit ribosomal RNA
Source: RNAcentral
CGGACAGUGCCUGGUGGGUAGUUUGACUGGGGCGGUCUCCUCCCAAAGAGUAACGGAGGAGCACGAAGGUGGGCUAAUCACGGUUGGACAUCGUGAGGUUAGUGCAAUGGCAUAAGCCCGCUUGACUGCGAGAAUGACAAUUCGAGCAGGUGCGAAAGCAGGUCAUAGUGAUCCGGUGGUUCUGAAUGGAAGGGCCAUCGCUCAACGGAUAAAAGGUACUCCGGGGAUAACAGGCUGAUACCGCCCAAGAGUUCAUAUCGACGGCGGUGUUUGGCACCUCGAUGUCGGCUCAUCACAUCCUGGGGCUGAAGUCGGUCCCAAGGGUAUGGCUGUUCGCCAUUUAAAGUGGUACGCGAGCUGGGUUUAGAACGUCGUGAGACAGUUCGGUCCCUAUCUGCCGUGGGCGUUGGAAGAUUGAAGGGGGCUGCUCCUAGUACGAGAGGACCGGAGUGGACGAACCUCUGGUGUUCGGGUUGUGUCGCCAGACGCAUUGCCCGGUAGCUAAGUUCGGAAUCGAUAACCGCUGAAAGCAUCUAAGCGGGAAGCGAGCCCUGAGAUGAGUCUUCCCUGAUACUUUAAGUAUCCUAAAGGGUUGUCGGAGACUACGACGUUGAUAGGUCAGGUGUGUAAGUGCUGUGAGGCAUUGAGCUAACUGAUACUAAUUGCCCGUGAGGCUUAACCAU